GCUCUAUCUGCAAGGUGAUAAGCGUUUAUCUUAAUAGCUCAGUACGCGUGAUGCCAUGUUAUGUGUUAAUUUCCAAAAUUCAAACAAAUAAAACGACGAAAUUUUUCGUGUAAUUUCACCUCUGUGAUAUACGGUCGUGAUGCUGGUUACAAGGGAACAGGAACAAAAUCAGAUUUGGACAACCAUGCCAAUCAGUUGAAUCCGAACAAUGCUCGUUACCAAGGAGGCAAUAAAUAAGGAAGAGUGGAUGGUUUCUUCUGUAUGCCAGCACUUAACAUAAAGUGAUAAAACAUAAAAAAAUUAAAAAUUUCCAGAAUUACUGUUUAAUACUUCUUGUGACACAAAAUUAUGUACUGUUUCUUUGCCUAGAUCCUUCAAAAGUAAUUCUACUUGUAAGACAAUUGCAGAUGCAAUUAAUUUGUGAUCACAGUUUUAUCUGCUUGUAUUGUGUGCAUGACAAAGGUGGUUGACAACGUGAAGUUUCUGCUAUAUAUGACUGAUGAAAAUGCUCAGGUGGUAGACAACAUCUGAAGUUUCUGCUAUAUAUGACUGAAGAAACUGAUCUGAUUGUUCCUUGAGAGCAUUCACCAAUGUACUUAUACUGACAAGUGUAGGCAUUCUUGAACAUGCACUUAUUAGGAAAGUGUGAUCAAUGAAGUUUUCUUAUUUCUGUACAUUGAAAUCAGUAAUAGCAUAUUGUACAGCUUCUUAGAAAUGUAAAGUGCAUGGCAGAAGUACGCCUUGUUCCAAUAUUGGGCAUGCAGGGACCUGUGUAUACUCUUUAUUUCAGAAUGUAGCUGUGUGUGGCACCAACAGUUUGUUUAGUCUUACAGAGGUAUGCAAUUUAAGGUACCUUCACACCGAAAACCAAAGUUCUCCAACAAACUAAAAUGUACAACAGUUCUGAGUUUGGUAAACUUACAACUGUUGAAAAAUAUUGACAACAGUUUCAGUCUCUACAUGUUUGGUGUUUUAACUUUUUUGCUACAGAAAAGCAAUGUAAAUGGAUUCUGACUGAAGAUUUCCCAUUUGUUAUGGUGGAAGAUGGUGCUUUUGCUCUUUCAGAGUACAUGAUGAAACAGUACACAGGAUGGCAAGAGGAAGGCAGCCAAGGAGGAACGUUUAAUCACCAAAUAUUUCACGCUAGAAGAAUUGUGGAGAAUUUUUUGGAAUAUUGUAAACAAUUUUUCGGUGUCUUAGAACAACUACACAUGUAAUUCCUGAAAAAGCAAUAUUAUUAACUUUUGUAACUGUGUCAGUUGUACAGUUUUCUUGGAAGAAAUAAAGUUAACUCCUCACCUGGCAAAAAUGUGGAAGAUCCAGAAACAGGCAGGGCUUCGGAUGUCAGUUGGAGGAUAUCUCCGCAAAGUAAAUGUCUACAGAGAAAGGGAGGCAACGCAGGAAGAACCACAAAGAAUAUAUGGGAUGAAUUUGCAAUCUACUUUGUAUCAGAUGUUGGUAAAAUGAAAUGGCAAGUGGAAUAAAUAUCGAGUGAAAAGACAAAUGUAAUUAAAAACUAAUGAACAAAACCCUUAUAGCUUUAGUUAUUAACAAUGUAAUCCAUUAAUAUGCAAAUUACUUUGUAUCAAAUUUUGACAAAAUGAUAUGACAAGAGAAAUCGAUAAAUUUUCGUGAAAAUACA
Schistocerca nitens (vagrant locust) is the source of this 1642-nucleotide long non-coding RNA. RefSeq lists it as uncharacterized. The transcript has 2 exons. The record is from RefSeq and is a predicted model, not a curated record. Lineage: Eukaryota; Metazoa; Arthropoda; Insecta; Orthoptera; Acrididae.